GCGAAAGUGGCGGAAUCGGUAGACGCGCCAGCCUUAGGAGCUGGUGGCCAUUUGGCCGUGGGGGUUCGAGUCCCCCCUUUCGCA
RNAcentral lists this transfer RNA (84 nucleotides) under Gemmatimonadota bacterium. RNAcentral's name for it is "Gemmatimonadetes bacterium tRNA-Leu". It matches the Rfam family "tRNA". Rfam says of the family: Transfer RNA (tRNA) molecules are approximately 80 nucleotides in length. Their secondary structure includes four short double-helical elements and three loops (D, anti-codon, and T loops). RNAcentral also lists the same sequence under 3 other names. The record is from RNAcentral. Lineage: Bacteria; Pseudomonadati; Gemmatimonadota.